UUCUGGCUUAAAGGCGAUUUCUUUAGUGUUAAUUCCCAAUUUCGCGUCGGUGAACGAAAGAUGAAAAGAAAUUUUGUUCUUUUUACCGCUUAUUGCCCCCAUUCGCUUACAAUUUUGACCGUGCUGAUGCCAAGUUUCUUUACUGCUUCUCUUUUUGCUUAUCGCAUGCUAAUUGUGCCUUCCCUCUUGGUAGUUUUAGCUUUCUUUUUUCAGCGAACAAUGGAUUGAGUUUUAGGGCUUCAAUUUGUUCUUGAAGUAACAUUAUCCUUUUCUUGUAUUGUUUUGUGGAAGAACUUAUCCUUGUUAACUGUCAACCAGGCAACGCUUUAUGUCUAUGAUCAACUUAAAAUGCUGACUAGAGUAUAUUUUUUUUAGUAGAAAAAUGUUGUGUUGGAUACUGGAGUUUGCAUUUUACAAUUCAAACUAAUUUUGGAUGCUCAGUUGAACAGAGUAUGCUCUGUGUUAUGACAUCGAUUUGUUUUGCUUUCUUUUGGUUUCAUAUUGACCAUUUUUUGCCCACUUUAGUAAAGGAAAUUCAUAUUGAGUGGAGCCAACUAGGAAAGGACUAUCUGAGAAUAGGGUAAGAGGCCACCUCAUGGCAGGCUGCACCAUUGAGCUCGGCCGCAAGUCAGGACAGUAGUUUCAUGGAAAUGGGAGGAUGUUAUUAUGAUUUAUAGGGCUAGAUGAACUUACUACCGAUAAUUUGGACUCAAGCAUUGUUGUAUCAUUGGGCCAAUAAUUUUAUUAGGCUGGGAGGUGGUGACGGGGUCCAUCAUAAUGUUUAUGUAACUACUUGAUGAUCAGCAAGUUUUCAAGGGCCUGUUACGAAGUACAUGCAUAUAUCAUAGCAUUUGAUCUUGUAUGGAAUGUUUAUAAAUAAUUUGAAGAAACUUUAUGGAAUGUAUGCUUGUUUUGGGUCCCUAAAAUUUGAUCUAGUAUGGACAAUUCAUCUCCCACAUUGCAUUUGGCAGCUCACUUGCCAAGACUGCAAGGCAUAGCGUGCUUCACAGUGCUAUAUUCGUCGAGACUUUGUGUUGUUUGUAUGCCAAUUUCUCAUUCUGCUUCGACAUUGAUAGAGUGUGCCUCUUGAUUUGACUACAAUCUUUUUACUCAUGUUCUUAGAUUGGUUAGCAGUCUUUGCUACUAACUGGUCUACAUUUUGAUGCAGAACUCUAACAAAAUUAAAAAGGCCAAUUGCCCAGUUUUUGUAAUUCAUGUAAGUGCUUUGUCUUAAAUACAUGCGUUUUGUCCUGCAAACAACUAGUGGCUUGAUUCUUUCUAUUGAGAAUAAUUUAAAGGCUUCUUUUUUUUUUUGUGAAGCAGUAGUAUUUGAAUCCUCAACAACUCUGCUGUAGGUUGAUGUUUUUCCACUGCAUUAGAACUUUGAACUUGCAAAUUGGCCUUAUUUUCUAAACCAGUAGUUCAAAGAAAAAAGAUCUGUUUUUCUAUAAACGUAACAUUGAACAGUCUCAGUUUCUUUUAUUUAUCGAUUCUUUUCAGCUGCUACGCUAAACUUCUGCAUUCAGUGAUUAGUUUGGAAUAUGGUGUCAAUUUCCUCGUGCACUUUCAUGAAUUUAAAGUGCUAUUUAACUUGUGCAUUAUGCUCACCAAAGUGAACACUGUAGACCUUGCUGGAACUCAUUCGGUACUACAGUACUGCUGCCUAGAGACUUCGCUUAUUCACCAUCAUAUUCCAAAGUUUUGGUUUAAGAUUUUCCUUAUUUAUGAUUAUUGCUGCGGAAGGUAUAAUAAUUCAGAAUUAUUAGCAGAAAUCAGUCAACGACCACUUCUCGGAAGGCGAUAGCUAGCAUGUGAACUGAAACUACACUUUUCUCUGUGUUUCCUUCUUCUGCCUCUCAUCGAUUUUUCAGAAAUAAGAUGAUAUCUGACUGAUCCUGUUGUCUCCUUCCGAGUCAUAUCAAACCCCUAGGAUUUCCAAGGACUGGAUUACCCAUUUCAUAGUGGUAAGUAAGGCAUUCAUUUUGGAACCGAUGUCAAUCUUUUCAUAGGCAGCUGCAGUGACACAUAAAUGUAUCCUCAAACAUCUCUCAGCCAAUGUUAGUGAUCAUUGAGCUUCUAACCGGGUAUCUCCAUUAAUACUGUUUAGGCCUGUUAUUUUUAGUUACUUUGUUUUACGUUCCAAUAUGUACAUGUUGUCAAUUUCUGCUGUAUAUUGUCAGUAAUUCCUUGAGUUUUGUGAGCAAUGAUAUCCCUUAUUGAGAAGUUCAAAUACGAGUAUCAGAAUGAUCAUUAUAAAUAUUCCUGAUAACGUUAUGCGACUGGUUCCAAUCCUUUACCAUUAGAUAAUUUUAAAAUGUUGAUUCGCUGAUAGUUGUUUUCAAAUAUAAUCUUUGAUCUCUCCUAUAAAUUAGGGAUUCCUGAGUUUGGACCACGUCAAAGAUAACUUUCACAUGGUUUAUGUGGUAGUGUUUCCGUAUUUUACCUUGCUUCAUCUUGAUUUAUCAAUAGUUCUUUUUUAGAGAAUCAAAAUCUAUAAAAGAUUAGGGAGUUUAGACUUUGCACCAUGUCAAGGCUUAAAAACUCUUUGCUUUGGUGUGCUUCCUGUUGUAAGAACUCCUACUAAGAUCUUGAUUCUUGUUAAUAUAAUCUAGUACUUUUGUCUCAUGACUAAUACAAUAUUCAUCUUAUUGCACUUGUUGGUGUGUUUUAUCCAUACAAUCGAGGAGCCCUUUUCACAGUUCUCAUAUCAUAUAUGCUCUGACUUCCGGUAUUGCUGCUUACACAGCGAACUCCUUUUAUAUGCAGCUCGAAGGGACUAACUGAGUAAGUGGAUGCUUCAAGAUUAAUAUCUGACCUUCUCAUUUCUCCUAGAUAAUUCCACUAUUCAGUUGAUCUGAUAGUAGACAUUGCAAUCUAUUUUUGCAUCUUGAAGCUCUUGUGCUUGAACAUAUUUGUAAAUGAAAUGCUUCUAUUGUCAUUUAGUUGUUCUGAGUUGAUUUGUGGUUUUUGAAUAAUGGCAAACAUUAAGGUGGUACUAUAGUUCAACAAUUUCCAUGGACUUCGUAUUAAAAUUUAUCAUGUGGGUAGCAGAUAUUCCUCCUCUAUACAUAGAUAUGAACAAAUAAAACAAAGAGUUAAAAGCUUUGGCAUACUUACAUGAUUUAACUUCAUCUGUACCAUUAAUCUGAUCCAAUACCAAAUACACUAUAAAUGAGGAUAUUAGGUACCUGAGAAAUUUAACAUUGAGUAAUUUCAAGAUGAAUCUCAGGAAAAAAGCAAUAUAUAGAAUAGAACUUGUGCCUUGUGAAGUCAGCCAAGGAGAAAGCCAAGAGGGCUACAAUAUUAGUGCUGAUUUCUGUUAAUAUCAUUUGAUACUUCUGUCUCAUGACCAUUACAAUUUUCAUCGUCCUUCUUGCACUUUUUGGUGUGUUUUAUCCAUACAUUGGGGAGUCCUUUUCACAGCUCUUGUUGUCAUAAAUACUCUGACUUCUGGUAUCGUUGGUUACAUAACAACCUCCUUUUAUAUGCAGCUUGAAGGUAAAAGGUUAUUUCAGCAUUAAUUUCUAGUCACCACUUGUGGUCUCCAUGGGUUGAUUCUAUUUGCCUCUCUUUUACCGGAGGCAAGGAAUUUGUUAUUGAAAACUACAAAUUCUUGAUUAAUCUAAUUCCAAGGAACUGUUCAGCCUUGAAAAAUCAUAAUUUUUUAAAAAUAAUAAUAAUUUGAAGCAUUAAUUAAGAUCUUAUAGUGAGGUAUGAUUACAUACAUCAAGGAUUGUUGUACCAUCUGAAACAGUGUGGUUUGGGCGUUGUGUAUACGUCCAAGCAGGGUUUGCCAUACCGAGCCGUACCGCCCGGUACGGGCGGUAUGUACCGGUCCGAGGCACUGUAGCACUGUAGCAGUUCACUGUAUCACUGUAGCAGUGCUACAGUACUCGAUACACCUGGGUGUACUGUUCGGUAUACCGUACCGUACCGGUACCGAGCCCAGAUCGAAAUAUCGGUAUGGUACGAUAUUGCGAACCUUGUGUCCAAGCAUGGACCGAUACACAGGCUGUCUGAAUUAAAAUAUUAAAAAAUUAAAAAGGGGUGGGUCCCAGUUCAUUUGAGUAUUAGAAAAAACAAAAGGCAGAUUAGGGCUCUUGACGCUGCCGCUGCUUCCUAGGUAUCGCUGCACUUCUUCUCUUCCUUAUUUUUUCUUCAUCUUCUUCCUUCUUCCUCCUCUAUUCCUCCAUCGGACCUUCCACUUCAACCUCAUUUUCUUCCUUAUCAAAUCAUCAGUAUGCAUCAAUGUACCAUGUGUUGGUACACUGGUACGGGGCGGCACACCGGUGUGGACCGAUAAGUUAAACCUUGGUAUACAUUUGAUAUAUUUUAAGAUUUAUGACUUUGGGAAGAUCUCACCAGAGAAUUAACCUCGCAUCUCAUCACUUGUAAUGUCAUAUUUUUAGACACAUCAGAUGUUCGAAGAGACUUGUAUCGAUCUAUAAAGAUUAUAUGAGUCCACUAUAAUUAACUUGAGUUUAAGCAUCAACAUUGGUUUAUAAAGAUUCAGAUGAUUUUACUAUAAUUGAUCCGUCAAGUUAAUGAGACAAUUAGCUCAUCGAGUUAGUUCUGAUAAAAGGCACUAAAAAAUUAUCUAAGAAAUAUUGGUUAAUGCUAAAUUCAGUUUUGAAGACCCUGAUGGUUCUAAAAGAUAAGAUAUGAGUAGCACAAGUGUUAACUAAAGUAAUCAGAUUCUUCCAUGUAGCAGAUUGGAUUGAUGCAGAAUAAUCACUGAGAAAGUUUAUUUGACAUCCAUGAAACUUCUUAUUUAUGUUCUUGUGACCAUCGCUGCUAACCACAGUGAAACAUAAUUUUGUGGAAGUUUCUCUAAAUAAAGAUGCUGAAACACUUUCGAGCUUGAAAUUUUGAUGACAGCUUCACAGCAGAUACUUCAAGUGUGUUUAACGGCAGCAAAUACUUCAAGAUUGAGCAGAGUGAUAUCAGCAGAGAAAUAGGAUGGCUGGAUCCAAGCAGCACUCAUCAACAAGAAGGCAGCAGUAUAGGGUAGCAAGGCUGCGAAACAAAACAUUCUAGUUAGUGGAGAAGUCAACAUUCUAGUUAGUGGAGAAGUCAUCAAAAAACCGUAUGAAGACAUACAUAGGGAGGCUACUGCCACCACAAGCACCACAUUCACGACCAACUGUUGCUGUGGGAUUAGACGCAGGAAACCUAAUUGCUGGAGGUACCCAUGGGGAAGAUGUCUAAUGGUGCAGUGCUCCAAGGGAUGUGCAUACCUGUGCAACUGAUGUUGUAGAGAUUGGCAUUGAUGGUGGCCUCCUCUGUACAGACUUGCUCUAACUUCCAAACCUAUCUAUUGUAUCGAAAUGUCAACAGGGACAAUCGAGCUAUCGUUUGCUUGAGCAUCGAGAGAAUAGAUUCUAGUUUUUUUAACUGAAACUACACUGAUGAUCUCCAUGCUGUAGAAAUCUCAAUUUGGUGGUGUUGUAUAGUUAUUGCCCA
Musa acuminata AAA Group (dessert banana) is the source of this 5463-nucleotide long non-coding RNA. RefSeq lists it as uncharacterized. The record is from RefSeq and is a predicted model, not a curated record. The transcript has 2 exons. NCBI's taxonomy places the organism in Eukaryota, Viridiplantae, Streptophyta, Magnoliopsida, Zingiberales, Musaceae.